Molecule: ribosomal RNA, 495 nt
Filed under: uncultured bacterium
Lineage: Bacteria
Description: partial 16S ribosomal RNA
Rfam family: Bacterial small subunit ribosomal RNA
Source: RNAcentral
GACGAACGCUGGCGGCGUGCCUAAUACAUGCAAGUCGAACGCUGAAGGAGGAGCUUGCUCUUCUGGAUGAGUUGCGAACGGGUAAGUAACGCGUAGGUAACCUGCCUGGUAGCGGGGGAUAACUAUUGGAAACGAUAGCUAAUACCGCAUAACAGUAGAUGUUGCAUGACAUUUGCUUAAAAGGUGCAAUUGCACCACUACCAGAUGGACCUGCGUUGUAUUAGCUAGUUGGUGGGGUAACGGCUCACCAAGGCGACGAUACAUAGCCGACCUGAGAGGGUGAUCGGCCACACUGGGACUGAGACACGGCCCAGACUCCUACGGGAGGCAGCAGUAGGGAAUCUUCGGCAAUGGACGGAAGUCUGACCGAGCAACGCCGCGUGAGUGAAGAAGGGUUUCGGAUCGUAAAGCUCGGUUGUAAGAGAAGAACGAGUGUGAGAGUGGAAAGUUCACACUGUGACGGUAUCUGACCAGAAAGGGACGGCUAACUACGUG